AUUGAACGCUGGCGGAAUGCUUUACACAUGCAAGUCGAGCGGCAGCGCGGGGCAACCUGGCGGCGAGCGGCGAACGGGUGAGUAACACAUCGGAACGUAUCCAAUCGUGGGGGAUAGCCCGGCGAAAGCCGGAUUAAUACCGCAUACGACCUGAGGGUGAAAGUGGGGGCUCGCAAGACCUCACGCGACUGGAGCGGCCGAUGUCCGAUUAGCUAGUUGGUAGGGUAAAGGCCUACCAAGGCGACGAUCGGUAGCUGGUCUGA
Molecule: ribosomal RNA, 263 nt
Filed under: uncultured bacterium
Lineage: Bacteria
Description: partial 16S ribosomal RNA
Rfam family: Bacterial small subunit ribosomal RNA
Source: RNAcentral